AUACGUAGGUGACAAGCGUUAUCCGGAUUUACUGGGCGUAAAGGGCGUGUAGGCGGUCUUGCAAGUCAGAAGUGAAAUUCCUGAGCUCAACUCGGGCGCUGCUUCUGAAACUGCAGGACUUGAGUGCUGGAGGGGAUAGCGGAAUUCCUAGUGGAGCGGUAAAAUGCGCAGAUAUUAGGAAGAACACCGGUGGCGAAGGCGGCUAUCUGGAAAGUAACUGGAGCUGAGGCGCGAAAGGGUGGGGAGGCAACAGGGUUAAAUUCCCCGGUUGUCCCACGCCUUAAACGUGGAUUCCUGGUUGAGGGGGUAUCGACUCCCUCUGUGCCGCAGUUAACACAAUAAGUAUUCCGCCUGGGGAGUACGGCCGCAAGGUUGAAACUCAAAGGAAUUGACGGGG
Molecule: ribosomal RNA, 397 nt
Filed under: uncultured bacterium
Lineage: Bacteria
Description: partial 16S ribosomal RNA
Rfam family: Bacterial small subunit ribosomal RNA
Source: RNAcentral